RNAcentral lists this long non-coding RNA (1584 nucleotides) under Homo sapiens (human). Its description in RNAcentral is "HSALNT0123088". The record is from RNAcentral. Lineage: Eukaryota; Metazoa; Chordata; Mammalia; Primates; Hominidae.
AUGCCGCUUUGAGGACCAGUGACCCUCAGGGACUUAGCAAAAUGCCAUCUUCAAAACAACUUGUCAAGAUCCUCACGGGCAGUCAGUGUCAUGUUUUAUAUCGCGUACAACCUGCAGCACAGGGCGCAGCAGGCGUGAGUGCCACUGUCUAGGGACUCUCCAUACCCUCCAGCCUUCAGACGCAGGAACGGGAAUCUCAGCCAGCUGUCUCCUCUGUCCCAGGUUUCUCUCCAGUCUCACCUGAGGUCGAAAAGUCCGAAUGAAGUAGGUGAUAGUCCAUUGAUCUGAAGGGCAUAGUGGCUCAUGGGAUUUUGCUGAGUCUACACCAGGUGUCAAAGAGUCUGGUGCCCAAACCUUGGCAAGUGCACGUGACUGAUUACCUCAUUGUCAGAAAAUGUGGGAGCCCGGCAGCGCUUGGGACCACCUGGCUCAGACUCUUCAUUCCAGACCAGACCACUGAGGCCCGGGAAGCGGGGUCCACUUACAGGACGUCGGAAGGCAGUGGGCAGGAACUGGGCUCCUUCCUGCCGGGCCAGCUUUUCGGAGGCUGGCACUGGGGCUUCGGGACUUGAGGACCUGAUCGCUGCGCAGGCCACGCGCCACCCGCAGAGGGCACCCGCGGUCCGCCGCGUUCCAGGGCGCGGGCUCUGGGGCUGGCCUCUCUGGCGCGCGAGGGUUUGCUGAGAUUUAACAGAGGGCCGUUACACUCACAGUGGCGCCGUUCACACUGAGAUGAGACAGGUGGAAAAGAGAGCUCGCCCUUCUUGCAUUGUCACACGGAGCGGCCCUCUCCCUGUGCAGCGUGGAGUCCCCUGGGCGCGGGCGAGGCUCAGGCGGGACGCGGCGGAGACCGAGCUUGUCCCUGUGUGGACCCGGGCAACUGCCGGUGGGCGAGGCCUGGAUGGUGGCCAGGCCGCAGCCACCCGGACGUUUGCGAGCGCCGAAGUCCCGCAGGGAAGCUGGGCUGGGCGAGAGGGUGUCUCCUGGGUCCACCGUGGAAGCCCGAGGCGCGGGUGCGGAGCCAGCCCAGGGCUGCCGGCGUGAGCUGCAGGGCUGGCCUGGUGCUCAUCCUCUGCCCGGGGCGCGGGAAAGGCGAGGGACGCUGUGCUGGAUCUGUGUGCUCAGUGGCCAUGCGUCGGCCUCAGGACUGGGAACGAGGCGAGAGACACAGAUGUGCAGGAUCUGCGCUUGCAGCCACCUUACUUCGUGGGCUGUACCUGAGGUGACAGGCAGGGUCUUCUCUGAUGAAGUUACCCACACGAGUCACCACGGGAUGACGGUGAGCAGGUGCCACGGAAGGUCUUCAAGUCUUUAACUGAGCCUUGCGUCUACUGGCCCUGCUCUCCUGCAAACUAUUUGACCGUAGGAUUUCCCUUCACCACAACAUGUGAGGAGCAAAGGAGACAAAGUGAGGGGAGUCAAAGGGUGGUGUUGGUAGAGAGAGAAGAGUCAGUUGCUCCUGUAUUCCUGCUUUUUGAGGAGCCAAUAAAAUGUUUUUUUUAGGCGGAAGGUAGUUACUGGGCCUUCUACUCAUUCAUGAUCAAACCUGGACAAAAACCUGAAGUGCUGCCUCUGCUUCUCAUC